GGGGGUAUUUGCUAAAUGGGAAAGCAGCUGGCUUUUAACCAGCAGAGAUUUAAUCUCGGACAAGGUUCGAUUCCUUGUGCCCUCA
Molecule: transfer RNA, 85 nt
Filed under: Melampsora pinitorqua Mpini7
Lineage: Eukaryota; Fungi; Basidiomycota; Pucciniomycetes; Pucciniales; Melampsoraceae
Description: tRNA-Lys (TTT) (tRNA-Lys-TTT-4-1)
Rfam family: tRNA
About the family: Transfer RNA (tRNA) molecules are approximately 80 nucleotides in length. Their secondary structure includes four short double-helical elements and three loops (D, anti-codon, and T loops).
Source: RNAcentral